RNAcentral lists this transfer RNA (71 nucleotides) under Candidatus Bathyarchaeota archaeon. RNAcentral describes it as "tRNA-Tyr". It matches the Rfam family "tRNA". From Rfam's summary of the family: Transfer RNA (tRNA) molecules are approximately 80 nucleotides in length. Their secondary structure includes four short double-helical elements and three loops (D, anti-codon, and T loops). Further hydrogen bonds mediate the characteristic L-shaped molecular structure. tRNAs have two regions of fundamental functional importance: the anti-codon, which is responsible for specific mRNA codon recognition, and the 3' end, to which the tRNAs corresponding amino acid is attached (by aminoacyl-tRNA synthetases). tRNAs cope with the degeneracy of the genetic code in two manners: having more than one tRNA (with a specific anti-codon) for a particular amino acid; and 'wobble' base-pairing, i.e. permitting non-standard base-pairing at the 3rd anti-codon position. Lineage: Archaea; Thermoproteati; Candidatus Bathyarchaeota. The record is from RNAcentral.
CCGUAGCUCAGUGGUAGAGCGCUCGGCUGUAGACCGAGUGGUCCCCGGUUCAAAUCCGGGCGGGGGGACCA